Long non-coding RNA from Ipomoea nil (Japanese morning glory), 763 nucleotides. RefSeq lists it as uncharacterized. The transcript is spliced from 3 exons. NCBI's taxonomy places the organism in Eukaryota, Viridiplantae, Streptophyta, Magnoliopsida, Solanales, Convolvulaceae. The record is from RefSeq and is a predicted model, not a curated record.
AAUAGAUAACAGCCAAGGCCCAGCCUUCAAGGAAAGGCCAACUGUUCCACCAUCUUAAUGCUCCCACUUGGAUUAUAGGCUCGCGCUACCAAGCCCAGCAAGCAAUUCUUCUAGCUACGGCCUUAUUAAGAGAAAAUAUUUCUGCUCUAAUUUCGAUGUGGGAAAUUGUUCAAGGACAUGCUUGGCUUUCAUAGCAAAAAAUAGAGCAGAGAACUGUGUGUGUGUGUGUGUGGGUUUUGUCAGCCAUGAGAUUUGCUUUGUAUCAUUGUGAUGGAAAUUGUAUGAUAUUUGUUGAAAGCUAGCGGGGCUUAUAUGUGAAGCAGAGACAUAUAUAGCCUGAAAGCUUUAAUUUGCUUAACUGAGUGAAUGGAAUGGCAGAGAUGAUUGGGUUCUUCCGGCAGCAUCCAAUCACACCCUAUAAGCUUUGCUUCGUUUUUAUUUCCAUCUCACAUUAAUUGUUUUUAUUAUUUAGUUUAGAAAUGAUGCAGGCGAGGGAGGAAAUGAUAUGAUGAAAGAGCGUCAGCAUAAUUUGGAAGCCUAGGACUUGGUUGAUGAUGGAGACCACAUUGAUUGAUAGAUUGAAAUCAUGCCAUGUGCUAGGUUCACCAUACACAGCACGCAGCUCAGGAUUCGAGUCAACACAUAUCCUACCCGGCCUCAGUUGUUCAGCUCCGUCCUAAAGAAAUACAUGCCUAGAAGAGAUGAACUUCACAUAUGUUGAAUGUUUGCUUUACACUUUCAACAAUAUAAUUUAGCUCAAAAG